This 387-nucleotide ribosomal RNA is filed under the name uncultured bacterium. RNAcentral's name for it is "bacterial SSU rRNA". It matches the Rfam family "Bacterial small subunit ribosomal RNA", at positions 30 to 419 of the family's 1533-position model. The record is from RNAcentral.
AUUGAACGCUGGCGGAAUGCUUUACACAUGCAAGUCGAACGGCAGCACGGGGCAACCUGGUGGCGAGUGGCGAACGGGUGAGUAAUACAUCGGAACGUGCCCAAUCGUGGGGGAUAACGUAGCGAAAGUUACGCUAAUACCGCAUACGAUCUACGGAUGAAAGCGGGGGAUCGCAAGACCUCGCGCGAAUGGAGCGGCUGAUGUCAGAUUAGGUAGUUGGUGGGGUAAAGGCUCACCAAGCCAACGAUCUGUAGCUGGUCUGAGAGGACGACCAGCCACACUGGAACUGAGACACGGUCCAGACUCCUACGGGAGGCAGCAGUGGGGAAUUUUGGACAAUGGGCGCAAGCCUGAUCCAGCCAUUCCGCGUGCAGGAUGAAGGCCUUC